Molecule: long non-coding RNA, 678 nt
Filed under: Coturnix japonica (Japanese quail)
Lineage: Eukaryota; Metazoa; Chordata; Aves; Galliformes; Phasianidae
Description: lncRNA (ENSCJPG00005002101.1)
Source: RNAcentral
GUGGAACCCUAUGGGGGAGGUUAUAGGGUCACCCCAUAGGGACAUGAUCUAUAGGGUCACCCCAUAGGGAUGUUGUCUAUGGGGUCACAGCCGUGGUACCCUAUGGGGACAUGAUCUAUAGGGUCACCCCAUUGGGGAUGUCAUCUAUAGGGUCACCCCAUGGGGACAUCGUCUAUGGGGUCAUAGGUGUGGUACCCCAUAGGGACAUGAUCUAUAGGGUCACCCCAUAGGGAUGUCGUCUAUGGGGUCACAGCUGAGGGAACCCCAUAGGGACAUUGUCUAUGGGGUCAUAGAUGUGGUACCCCAUGGGGACAUGAUAUAUAGGGUCACCCCAUAGGUAUGUCAUCUAUAGGGUCACCCCAUAGGGAUGUCAUCUAUAGGGUCACCCCAUGGGGAUGUCGUCUAUGGGGUCAUAGAUGUGGUACCCCAUGGGGACAUGAUCUAUAGGGUCACCCCAUGGUGAUGUCGUCUAUGGGGUCAUAGCUGAGGGAACCCCAUAGGGGACAGCUGCGGGCACAGCUAUAGGGUCACAGAUGUGGUACCCCAUGGGGACAUUAUCUAUGGGGUCACAGCUGAAAUCACCCUAUGGGGACAGCUAUGGGGACAUCUAUAGGGUCACAGCUGUGGCACCCAAUGGGCACCAUGACUCGACCCCAUUAUUUUCACCCUUAAUAAAGA